This 220-nucleotide long non-coding RNA is filed under the name Gossypium raimondii (Peruvian cotton). Its description in RNAcentral is "long non-coding RNA (GRAI_LNC005643)". Lineage: Eukaryota; Viridiplantae; Streptophyta; Magnoliopsida; Malvales; Malvaceae. The record is from RNAcentral.
AUUGGUGAUGAACAUUUGGGCAUGGGUAGUCCAAAAAUUGGAGAUCUGUUUUAGAUGUUUUUGAAAGAUCUAAACCCAGAGAAAGGUAGAGGAGAAAGAAAUCUUUAUUUUGGUGGCCUCUGACUGGAGCUAUGGUGGUGGAUUUGACAGUAGUGGCUAGGAUUACAAAGGGAAGAGAGGAAAAAAAAGAAAGAAGAGAGAGACAAGUGAGAGUAGUGAG